Long non-coding RNA from Oncorhynchus keta (chum salmon), 1705 nucleotides. RefSeq lists it as uncharacterized. NCBI's taxonomy places the organism in Eukaryota, Metazoa, Chordata, Actinopteri, Salmoniformes, Salmonidae. The record is from RefSeq and is a predicted model, not a curated record. The transcript is spliced from 2 exons.
AGUGGUCACCAAACUACGGCCCGCGGGCCGGAUACGGCCCGUCAGCACAUUUGAACCCGGCCCUCUGAACAAUACCAGAGACGCUAUCGAAUUUUUUUCCUAUUUGGCCUCCAGAAAAAAAAUCCUAGGCCCGGCCCUGUCAAAGAGAGAACGGAAUAAUGGCGAAAAGGUUAGGUAAGAGAAAAAUUGAUUCAGAAUGCAGGGUAUUUAACCUGCAGUGGACAAACGAUUAUUUUUUUUGUUCAAUGCAAAGAAAAGGCUGUUUGUCUCAUCUGUCAAGAGACGGUGGCGGUAUUCAAAGAAUACAAUCUUCGCCGACACUAUGAAUCCCGUCACAAAGACAAGUACGAUAGCUUGCAAGGCCAAAUACGAGCAGACAAACUCUCAAAGCUAAAAAGUGGACUACUAUCUCAGCAGAAUACAUUUGUACGCCAAGCUCAGCUGAACCAGGCAUCCGUUCGGGACAGCUUUCGGGUUGCUAAACUGAUAGCAAGAAGCGGUAAGCCUUUCACUGACGGAGAGUUUGUUAAGAAAUGUAUGGAUGCUGUCGCGGAGGAGGUGUGUCCCGAGAAGAAAGAUGCGAGCUGCUACCCGAAAUUAACGCAUUUCUUCAUUUAAAAGACAAAACGGUCCCAGAGCUGAUCGACCCAGAAUGGAAAUGGCACCUCGCAUUUUUAACAGACGUGACAGAAAUACUUAACAGCCUUAACUUGCAGCUACAAGGCGAGGGGAAACUCAUUUGCGACAUGUAUUCACACAUAAAAGCAUUUGAGGUGAAAUUAGCGCUGCUUUUGGAACAAGUGAAAAAGCGCAACUUCGUCCAUCUUCCUGCUACCCAAAACCUGUCGAGAGAGAACCCAGCGGUCCCGUUCCCAGCUGAAAAGUGCGUGGAAGCACUGGAAAUGCUGAAGGCGCAGUUCGGUGUGCGAUUCAGUGAACUACAUGUUCAUGCAAAAGAAAUCCGUCUUUUUCAGAACCCCUUUGUUGCCGACAUUGAUGAAGCCCAGCCUUCAUAUCAGUUUGAGUUGGCUGAGUUACAGAACUGUGAUGUUCUGAAAGACGCAUUCAAGCCCAACAGUCUCAUUGACUUCUAUGCCGCCCUCCCAAACGACACAUAUCCAAACAUCAAAAAACACGCAAUGAAAAUGUCCACAGUUUUUGGCAGCACGUAUAUCUGCGAGAAAACAUUUUCUCGCAUGAAACUGCUGAAAACCCCGAUGAGAUCAAGAUUGACAGAUGAACAUUUGCAUCAGUGCUUGAGACUGGCUGUAACUAGAAUGGAACCUGAUAUUCAACUUCUCACCAGCCAGAUGCAGGCCCACAGUUCACACUGAUGAACAUACAUAGGGAAGUUGAUGAGAGAGAGCUGCAAACAGCGGUGUCUACAAGCCUACUGGAACCUACAAAAGGAUUAUAAGGAAGGAACACAAGAACUUUAAGAGACUGCUCAUAUGUGUCAGAGAGAUUCUGCUCUGACAACUGAGCUGAACUUUUAUCUGUUAAGAUUGUGCAUGGCACGACAGAAAGUUAAUGUUCCAUGGCUUUUUUUUCUAUGAAGAACCCAGAGAGGGUUAUUUAGUUAUUAUUUAUUUCAUUAAUAGUGUUAUUAUUUGUUUCCUGACUUUUUUUUCUGUAAAGAACCUGGAAAGGGUUAUUUGGUUAUGUGUGGCUUUCUGGAAAACAAUACAUUUUUUAAGCUCCCCUA